UACGUAGGGUGCAAGCGUUAAUCGGAAUCACUGGGCUUAAAGCGUGCGUAGGCGGCUCAGAAAGUUGGGUGUGAAAUGCCUCAGCUCAACCGAGGAAUUGCGCUCAAAACUACUGAGCUCGAGGGAGUUAGAGGAGGGCGGAACUCACAGUGGAGCGGUGAAAUGCGUUGAUAUUGUGAGGAACACCGGUGGCGAAAGCGGCCCUCUGGGGCUCUUCUGACGCUGAGGCACGAAAGCUAGGGGAGCAAACGGGAUUAGAUACCCGAGUAGU
This 271-nucleotide ribosomal RNA is filed under the name uncultured bacterium. RNAcentral describes it as "partial 16S ribosomal RNA". It matches the Rfam family "Bacterial small subunit ribosomal RNA", at positions 524 to 794 of the family's 1533-position model. The record is from RNAcentral.